This 1554-nucleotide ribosomal RNA is filed under the name Salmonella enterica subsp. enterica serovar Typhimurium. Its description in RNAcentral is "bacterial SSU rRNA". It matches the Rfam family "Bacterial small subunit ribosomal RNA". Lineage: Bacteria; Pseudomonadati; Pseudomonadota; Gammaproteobacteria; Enterobacterales; Enterobacteriaceae. RNAcentral also lists the same sequence under 1 other name. The record is from RNAcentral.
AAAUUGAAGAGUUUGAUCAUGGCUCAGAUUGAACGCUGGCGGCAGGCCUAACACAUGCAAGUCGAACGGUAACAGGAAGCAGCUUGCUGCUUCGCUGACGAGUGGCGGACGGGUGAGUAAUGUCUGGGAAACUGCCUGAUGGAGGGGGAUAACUACUGGAAACGGUGGCUAAUACCGCAUAACGUCGCAAGACCAAAGAGGGGGACCUUCGGGCCUCUUGCCAUCAGAUGUGCCCAGAUGGGAUUAGCUUGUUGGUGAGGUAACGGCUCACCAAGGCGACGAUCCCUAGCUGGUCUGAGAGGAUGACCAGCCACACUGGAACUGAGACACGGUCCAGACUCCUACGGGAGGCAGCAGUGGGGAAUAUUGCACAAUGGGCGCAAGCCUGAUGCAGCCAUGCCGCGUGUAUGAAGAAGGCCUUCGGGUUGUAAAGUACUUUCAGCAGGGAGGAAGGUGUUGUGGUUAAUAACCGCAGCAAUUGACGUUACCCGCAGAAGAAGCACCGGCUAACUCCGUGCCAGCAGCCGCGGUAAUACGGAGGGUGCAAGCGUUAAUCGGAAUUACUGGGCGUAAAGCGCACGCAGGCGGUCUGUCAAGUCGGAUGUGAAAUCCCCGGGCUCAACCUGGGAACUGCAUUCGAAACUGGCAGGCUUGAGUCUUGUAGAGGGGGGUAGAAUUCCAGGUGUAGCGGUGAAAUGCGUAGAGAUCUGGAGGAAUACCGGUGGCGAAGGCGGCCCCCUGGACAAAGACUGACGCUCAGGUGCGAAAGCGUGGGGAGCAAACAGGAUUAGAUACCCUGGUAGUCCACGCCGUAAACGAUGUCUACUUGGAGGUUGUGCCCUUGAGGCGUGGCUUCCGGAGCUAACGCGUUAAGUAGACCGCCUGGGGAGUACGGCCGCAAGGUUAAAACUCAAAUGAAUUGACGGGGGCCCGCACAAGCGGUGGAGCAUGUGGUUUAAUUCGAUGCAACGCGAAGAACCUUACCUGGUCUUGACAUCCACAGAACUUUCCAGAGAUGGAUUGGUGCCUUCGGGAACUGUGAGACAGGUGCUGCAUGGCUGUCGUCAGCUCGUGUUGUGAAAUGUUGGGUUAAGUCCCGCAACGAGCGCAACCCUUAUCCUUUGUUGCCAGCGAUUAGGUCGGGAACUCAAAGGAGACUGCCAGUGAUAAACUGGAGGAAGGUGGGGAUGACGUCAAGUCAUCAUGGCCCUUACGACCAGGGCUACACACGUGCUACAAUGGCGCAUACAAAGAGAAGCGACCUCGCGAGAGCAAGCGGACCUCAUAAAGUGCGUCGUAGUCCGGAUUGGAGUCUGCAACUCGACUCCAUGAAGUCGGAAUCGCUAGUAAUCGUGGAUCAGAAUGCCACGGUGAAUACGUUCCCGGGCCUUGUACACACCGCCCGUCACACCAUGGGAGUGGGUUGCAAAAGAAGUAGGUAGCUUAACCUUCGGGAGGGCGCUUACCACUUUGUGAUUCAUGACUGGGGUGAAGUCGUAACAAGGUAACCGUAGGGGAACCUGCGGUUGGAUCACCUCCUUACCUUAAAGAAGC